This is an RNA transcript of Medicago truncatula (barrel medic), 2486 nucleotides long. RefSeq lists it as uncharacterized. Lineage: Eukaryota; Viridiplantae; Streptophyta; Magnoliopsida; Fabales; Fabaceae. The record is from RefSeq and is a predicted model, not a curated record. The transcript is spliced from 8 exons.
AUCGUUCUUUCCUUCUCUCAGAAAAAAAAAAGCGGUCCUUCCUCUGCUGUUAUCUUUCUUCCUUCUUCCUCAAAUUUUGGUUUUGGUCUUCAUUGUUUGUAGGUUCGGUGUGAUCAAAAUGAUUCAGAUCGAUUGAAGCAAUAAAAGGAUUGAAGCAAUGAAAGGUGCGAAUUCGUCGUCAUCUUUAACAACUUCGUCAUCUAAAUGGUUUUAUGGAGCCUCCAAUCACGCUCCAAGUUCACCUGCGUCUUCGUCAAUGCGUAGGAAGCCGUAACAGUUAUAUCCAGAGGUUGUGCCAUUGGAUUCUCAUAAAACUAAAUAGAAUGUAACUGUGACGGUUCGAUUUUGGUCUUUCAAAUCUACUUCACACAUUUAGCUAUUUGCCGCUGGAUCUUAAUUUCAUCGAUCAUACCAGUGACAUUGGAUGGAAAGAUCAUCAACGUGCAAGGCCUAUAAUUGCUGAUCCGGGGUUGUACAUGAAUAAGAAGCAAGAUGUGUUUUGGAUUACACAGGAGAAGUAGACCAGCUGCUUUCAAGCUUUUCACAGGAUCUGUUGUUCAACCUGAGAAAAUAUGAAGCAGUAUCAAUUUUACACAGGGUCAGUUAAUUUUAGGACAACUCAUUUAAAAUAGGACACCUGGAAGGAGUGAGUGUCUGUGGGAUUGAAAAUCUUCAUACCGGUUAAAGCUUUCAAUCAAGAGAAAGAUUUGAUACAGUGGCUACUAAACUCUCAAUUGCUAAGAAAGUUUUCAAUCAAGAGAAAGAUUUGAUACUUAAUUCGAGCUCCUUUCAGCAGUUCUUUUCUGAGAAUGAGGGUUGGGUUGGUUGAAACCCUAUGUUGCCUUCUGUUUCUUAAAAGACUUAUUUGAAACAUCAGAACGAAGUCAAUGGGGCCGUUUUGCUCAAUACUCAGAAGAUAAGUUAGAGAAACUUUUAUCCAAGGAAAGUCGGCAUUAUGAGAUAAUUUGCUUCCACUACUAUGUUCAAUACCAUCUACAUCUACAUCUACAAUUGUUCGAAGCUUCAGAAUACGCAAGAAAUAAGGGAGUGAUUCUAAAAGGAGAUCUUCCCAUUGGAGUUUAUCCAAAUUUGUUCCGAAUGAACACUUCUAUUGAGGCACCUCCUGAUUAUUUUGAUAAAAAUGGCCACAAUUGAGGCUUUCCUACUUAUAACUGGGAGGAGAUGUCAAAAGAUAACUAUGAUUGGUGGCGAGCUCGAUUAACACAGGUUUUGGUUUUGAAUUCUUGGUUGUCCUGUUCUUCACUGGAAAAUAAUCUCUGCAGAUGACCCUGAAGUUGAAGAUGAUGAAGAUUUCAUUUUGGUAAAUCCACCAACAUCUUUGGACUUUGUAAGCCCUGAUUUAGUGCUAGAAUUUCCAACAUGGCCAAGCUUCAAAUCAGCAAAAAAAUUCAUUAGCACACAUUAAGAAACAAAACCAUAGAGAAUAAUCCAUGUACUGCCAUGCCAUGGGCGCCAAAAUGCUUCAUCAUUAUUAAGAAACAAAACUAUAGGAAUAAUCAUGCUUGCUGCAUUUAUUCAUUUAUUUGACUCAAGAAUGCAUUUCUUCAUCAUCUCUUCUCUACUAAUGAAGCACAAGUAAUUCUUCUUUAUAUUUAAAGUGAGUAGCAUAUUCUUGAGAGGUAGGAUCAUAAACCAUAUCACAUCAAGUUCACCAUUUCCGUACGAUCGGAUCAUUCUUGCUAUUAUAGCUAAACAUGGCACGCUUAGAAAACUUUACCAUGUAUGCCAAAGACUGUGCAGCUGCUGCUCUGAAAGGUAUGGUUAGCACUUGAGUUUAUUCAAAGCAUACAUUUCAGAGCAGCAGCUGCAGAGUAGCAGCUGCAGUCUUUACUAUUUCUACGCAUUGAGUUUACAUGGAGUCGGACAUAUUUAAUUCAGUUGUCUAUGUGCAUAAUUUGAAUUGGCUUGGCUUUUGUCAAUCUGCAUUUCCGGCUGUGAAAACUGAAUUAACUGUCAUUGAUUUCCUGGGCUUUACUUGGAAGUUGUUUAUGGAAUUCUGUCAUAAUGAACAGCUGUCAUGUGAUUUUUCUGGUGAAUGGCAAACAUUGUGCAACGCGCGUAAGUUGAUUGAAGGAGCAAAUAUCAAAUUAGGUGUCACGGGAGCAGCUAACAAUGGGGACAUAGGGUUGUCUAUCAUUGUGCGCCUCCAAUGUUGGUGUUGAGAACAAAAAUGCCUCCAUCAGCAAGCACUGGAGGAAAUGGUCCAUCUUAUCAAUUUAAGCACUAUUUCUGGAAGAAUUAGUAAUAUUAAUCAUGUCGCUUUAUAUUUUUGUUUUCAAAGCAUUAGAGUGGUUCUAUUCUGAGUUGAGAAAUGUACUCUAUUGGUUGUGUGUACUUUUUAGCACUUUAGUGAUUUGAUGAUUAAGUAAUCAACAAAUUGUGAGAUGUACUCUUAUUAGUUGCCUUAUGUACUUUCUGCUGCCAAGUUCGGCAUUAAGGAAAAAUUAUCAUUAUCUUUGGUAUAA